GAUGAACGCUAGCUACAGGCUUAACACAUGCAAGUCGAGGGGAAACGACAUCGAAAGCUUGCUUUUUCUAGGCGUCGACCGGCGCACGGGUGAGUAACGCGUAUCCAACCUGCCCACCACUUGGGGAUAACCUUGCGAAAGUAAGACUAAUACCCAAUGACGUCUCUAGAAGACAUCUGAAAGAGAUUAAAGAUUUAUCGGUGAUGGAUGGGGAUGCGUCUGAUUAGCUUGUUGGCGGGGUAACGGCCCACCAAGGCAACGAUCAGUAGGGGUUCUGAGAGGAAGGUCCCCCACAUUGGAACUGAGACACGGUCCAAACUCCUACGGGAGGCAGCAGUGAGGAAUAUUGGUCAAUGGGCGAGAGCCUGAACCAGCCAAGUAGCGUGCAGGAUGACGGCCCUAUGGGUUGUAAACUGCUUUUAUAAGGGAAUAAAGUGGGUCUCGUGAGACUUUUUGCAUGUACCUUAUGAAUAAGGACCGGCUAAUUCCGUG
Molecule: ribosomal RNA, 492 nt
Filed under: uncultured bacterium
Lineage: Bacteria
Description: bacterial SSU rRNA
Rfam family: Bacterial small subunit ribosomal RNA
Source: RNAcentral